This 634-nucleotide ribosomal RNA is filed under the name Microbacteriaceae bacterium So2Ps_1706. Its description in RNAcentral is "bacterial SSU rRNA". It matches the Rfam family "Bacterial small subunit ribosomal RNA", at positions 384 to 1030 of the family's 1533-position model. Lineage: Bacteria; Bacillati; Actinomycetota; Actinomycetes; Micrococcales; Microbacteriaceae. The record is from RNAcentral.
UGAUGCAGCAACGCCGCGUGAGGGACGACGGCCUUCGGGUUGUAAACCUCUUUUAGCAAGGAAGAAGCGAAAGUGACGGUACUUGCAGAAAAAGCACCGGCUAACUACGUGCCAGCAGCCGCGGUAAUACGUAGGGUGCAAGCGUUAUCCGGAAUUAUUGGGCGUAAAGAGCUCGUAGGCGGUUUGUCGCGUCUGCUGUGAAAACUGGGGGCUCAACCCCCAGCCUGCAGUGGGUACGGGCAGACUAGAGUGCGGUAGGGGAGAUUGGAAUUCCUGGUGUAGCGGUGGAAUGCGCAGAUAUCAGGAGGAACACCGAUGGCGAAGGCAGAUCUCUGGGCCGUAACUGACACUUAGGAGCGAAAGGGUGGGGAGCAAACAGGCUUACAUACCCUGGUAGUCCACCCCGUAAACGUUGGGAACUAGUUGUGGGGACCAUUCCACGGUCUCCGUGACGCAUCUCACGCAUUAAGUUCCCCGCCUGGGGAGUACGGCCGCAAGGCUAAAACUCAAAGGAAUUGACGGGGACCCGCACAAGCGGCGGAGCAUGCGGAUUAAUUCGAUGCAACGCGAAUAACCUUACCAAGGCUUGACAUAUACUAGAACGCUGCGAAAUGUAUAACUCUUUGGACACUCG